GUUUUUCUGGCAUUUUUUGUGACAAAUUUCCAAUGUGGUAAAACAUAAAUUGUUUUCCUCAAAAAAAGUGGCACUCUCCUUAAAAAAUGUGUGCCUUUUAGGUUUUUGUCUCCUUAGUGUAUGUGUACUUGUACUCUGUUUUAGUUUAUCUCUUCCCGACUUGUACUCUGUUUUAGCAAAAUCUUUAGAAUAGCAGACGUACGAAGUGUAAAUAAAAAA
RNAcentral lists this long non-coding RNA (219 nucleotides) under Capsella rubella. RNAcentral's name for it is "long non-coding RNA (CRUB_LNC002177)". Lineage: Eukaryota; Viridiplantae; Streptophyta; Magnoliopsida; Brassicales; Brassicaceae. The record is from RNAcentral.